AUUGAACGCUGGCGGCAUGCUUUACACAUGCAAGUCGAACGGCAGCGCGGGCUUCGGCCUGGCGGCGAGUGGCGAACGGGUGAGUAAUGCAUCGGAACGUGCCCAGUAGUGGGGGAUAGCCCGGCGAAAGCCGGAUUAAUACCGCAUACGACCUGAGGGUGAAAGCGGGGGACCGAAAGGCCUCGCGCUAUUGGAGCGGCCGAUGUCGGAUGAGCUAGUUGGUGGGGUAAAGGCUUACCAAGGCGGCGAUCCGUAGCUGGUCUGAGAGGACGACCAGCCACACUGGGACUGAGACACGGCCCAGACUCCUACGGGAGGCAGCAGUGGGGAAUUUUGGACAAUGGGGGCAACCCUGAUCCAGCCAUGCCGCGUGCGGGAAGAAGGCCUUCGGGUUGUAAACCGCUUUUGUUCGGGAAGAAAUCCUCUGGGCUAAUACCCCGGGGGGAUGACGGUACCGGAAGAAUAAGCACCGGCUAACUACGUG
RNAcentral lists this ribosomal RNA (484 nucleotides) under uncultured bacterium. RNAcentral's name for it is "partial 16S ribosomal RNA". It matches the Rfam family "Bacterial small subunit ribosomal RNA", at positions 28 to 507 of the family's 1533-position model. The record is from RNAcentral.